Molecule: ribosomal RNA, 468 nt
Filed under: uncultured bacterium
Lineage: Bacteria
Description: partial 16S ribosomal RNA
Rfam family: Bacterial small subunit ribosomal RNA
Source: RNAcentral
GACGAACGCUGGCGGCGUGCUUAACACAUGCAAGUCGAACGGAAAAGCCCUGCUUUUGUGGGGUUCUCGAGUGGCGAACGGGUGAGUAACACGUGAGUAACCUUCCCUUGACUGUGUGAUAACUUCAGGAAACUGGGGCUAAUACCUGAUAGGAGCUCCUGCUGCAGGGUGGGGGUUGGAAAGUUUCGGCUGUUGGGGAUGGACUCGCGGCUUAUCAGCUUGUUGGUGGGGUAGUGGCUUACCAAGGCUUUGACGGGUAGCCGGCCUGAGAGGGUGACCGGCCACAUUGGGACUGAGAUACGGCCCAGACUCCUACGGGAGGCAGCAGUGGGGAAUAUUGCACAAUGGGCGGAAGCCUGAUGCAGCAACGCCGCGUGCGGGAUGACGGCCUUCGGGUUGUAAACCGCUUUCGCCUGUGACGAAGCGUGAGUGACGGUAAUGGGUAAAGAAGCACCGGCUAACUACGUG